UGCAGGGGAUGCCCAUCAUUUACUGUGAAAAAAUUAGAGUGUUCAAAGCAGGCUUAUGCCGUUGAAUAUAUUAGCAUGGAAUAAUAAGAUAGGACUUGUUUGCUAUUUUGUUGGUUUGCGCAAAUAGGUAAUGAUUAAUAGGGACAGUUGGGGGUAUUCGUAUUCCAUUGUCAGAGGUGAAAUUCUUGGAUUUUUGGAAGACGAACUACUGCGAAAGCAUUUACCAAGGAUGUUUUCAUUAAUCAAGAACGAAAGUUAGGGGAUCGAAGAUGAUUAGAUACCAUCGUAGUCUUAACCAUAAACUAUGCCGACAAGGGAUUGGUGGAGUCUCGUUAUGUCUCCAUCAGCACCUUAUGAGAAAUCACAAGUCUUUGGGUUCCGGGGGG
Molecule: ribosomal RNA, 386 nt
Filed under: Navicula sp. RCC4611
Lineage: Eukaryota; Bacillariophyta; Bacillariophyceae; Naviculales; Naviculaceae
Description: SSU rRNA
Rfam family: Eukaryotic small subunit ribosomal RNA
Source: RNAcentral